CCUUUUAGUCCAAGGCGCUGACAGCCAGGCCUGCCCUACUAGCUCCUUCUGUUGUUUCGAGGGGAGUGAGGCCUGGGGCUGAGUUAAGUUUCGCUGACCACUGCGUACCAUACCUGGAGGUUGUGAGAAUUAACCUGUAUUGAAAGUGAGUGCCCAGCACCAGGAUGGGGACGUCUGUAAUAAACAUGGCAAAAUCUGAAAAGCAGCUACAUCUCCAGUUUAUGCUCUCACCAAGGUGAUCACCACUUUCUCCAAACUGUUACCCCCACCUGGGUGGGGCACCUAGCCGAGGCCCUCAAAUGACUUGGCUCAACCAAGUCCACACCCACCCACCCAUGCUGGGACCAAAAGGUAUCAUUUACCACCACCUUACAGAGGAGGAAGCAAAACUCAGCUGAGUCCAAGCAACAAGUCCAAAAAUGACAGAGCCAGCCAGCGCAGCAAGACAGGGUGACCCCACAAUCUCAUGAGGGGAUGCUGGGAAGCAUUACUGUGCCUUCCUAGGGGACAAGUCAACUGGAACCAGCAGGAUAUAUCUUAUAUUUAAAGAUGUGCAGUUAGGCCGGGCAUGGGGGCUCAUGACUGCAAUCCAAGCACUUUGGGAGGCCGAGGUGGGUGGAUCAUCUGAAGUCAGGAGUUCAAGACCAGCCUGGCCAACAUGGUGAAACCCCAUCGCUACUAAAA
Molecule: non-coding RNA, 684 nt
Organism: Macaca mulatta (Rhesus monkey)
Lineage: Eukaryota; Metazoa; Chordata; Mammalia; Primates; Cercopithecidae
Source: RefSeq, a predicted model, not a curated record